GAUGAACGCUGGCGGCGUGCUUAACACAUGCAAGUCGAACGGAAAGGCUCCUGCUUGCAGGGGUACUCGAGUGGCGAACGGGUGAGUAACACGUGGGUGAUCUGCCCUGCACUUCGGGAUAAGCCUGGGAAACUGGGUCUAAUACCGGAUAGGACGAUGGUUUGGAUGCCAUUGUGGAAAGUUUUUUCGGUGUGGGAUGAGCUCGCGGCCUAUCAGCUUGUUGGUGGGGUAAUGGCCUACCAAGGCGUCGACGGGUAGCCGGCCUGAGAGGGUGUACGGCCACAUUGGGACUGAGAUACGGCCCAGACUCCUACGGGAGGCAGCAGUGGGGAAUAUUGCACAAUGGGCGCAAGCCUGAUGCAGCGACGCCGCGUGGGGGAUGACGGCCUUCGGGUUGUAAACUCCUUUCGCUAGGGACGAAGCGCAAGUGACUGUACCUGGAGAAGAAGCACCGGCUAACUACGUG
This 466-nucleotide ribosomal RNA is filed under the name uncultured bacterium. RNAcentral describes it as "partial 16S ribosomal RNA". It matches the Rfam family "Bacterial small subunit ribosomal RNA", at positions 28 to 507 of the family's 1533-position model. The record is from RNAcentral.